This 299-nucleotide ribosomal RNA is filed under the name uncultured bacterium. Its description in RNAcentral is "partial 16S ribosomal RNA". It matches the Rfam family "Bacterial small subunit ribosomal RNA", at positions 28 to 316 of the family's 1533-position model. The record is from RNAcentral.
GAUGAACGCUAGCGGCAGGCCUAAUACAUGCAAGUCGAACGGGAUCCAGAUCAAAGCUUGCUUUGGUCUGGUGAGAGUGGCGCACGGGUGCGUAACGCGUGAGCAACCUACCCUUGUCAGGGGGAUAGCCCGGCGAAAGUCGGAUUAAUACCGCAUGGCAUCAUUGAGAGGCAUCUUUCGAUGAUCAAAGAUUUAUCGGACAAGGAUGGGCUCGCGUGACAUUAGCUAGUUGGUAAGGUAACGGCUUACCAAGGCUGCGACGUCUAGGGGCUCUGAGAGGGAGAACUCCCCCACACUGG